RNAcentral lists this ribosomal RNA (222 nucleotides) under uncultured bacterium. Its description in RNAcentral is "partial 16S ribosomal RNA". It matches the Rfam family "Bacterial small subunit ribosomal RNA", at positions 112 to 334 of the family's 1533-position model. The record is from RNAcentral.
CGGACGUGGGGAACCUACCCUAUACAGGGGGAUAACAGCUGGAAACGGCUGCUAAUACCGCAUAAGCGCACAGAAUCGCAUGAUUCAGUGUGAAGAGCCCUGGCAGUAUAGGAUGGUCCCGCGUCUGAUUAGCUGGUUGGUGAGGUAACGGCUCACCAAGGCGACGAUCAGUAGCCGGCUUGAGAGAGUGAACGGCCACAUUGGGACUGAGACACGGCCCAA